RNAcentral lists this long non-coding RNA (424 nucleotides) under Elaeis guineensis (African oil palm). RNAcentral describes it as "long non-coding RNA (EGUI_LNC034407)". Lineage: Eukaryota; Viridiplantae; Streptophyta; Magnoliopsida; Arecales; Arecaceae. The record is from RNAcentral.
GCUUGUAGUUUGGAUUGAUAUCCAACCGAUUCGUCAUCAUGUCCGGGUCAAUACCGAGCACAUCUACUGGGGUCCAGGCAAACACAUCCGUAUUUUUUUGCAAAAAGGAUAUGAGGCAUUGUUUGGUUAUCUGAUCAAAUUUUGACCCGAUCUGAAUAGUGUGCUCCUGACUGUCGUCGUUCAACGGGAUCAUCUUCAGGUCCUCCACUUGUUCUCCUCAUUCCUUAGAUAGCUCAUCCUGUGUGUCCAAUCCAUCCAUCAGAUAAGCUUCAAAAGGCCUUGCACCAUGAAGUGCAAUAUUGUAGCACUAUCACGCUAAGUCCUAAUAGACACUACAUUGGACACACGGCUCUGAGCUUUAAAAGGCCCUGAACUACAUUGGAAACUUUAUUUUCAAGUGGUAAGUAGACACUACAACUCAGAG